Molecule: transfer RNA, 88 nt
Rfam family: tRNA
About the family: Transfer RNA (tRNA) molecules are approximately 80 nucleotides in length. Their secondary structure includes four short double-helical elements and three loops (D, anti-codon, and T loops).
Source: Rfam
GGAGAGUUACUCAAGAGGCUGAAGAGGGCAGGUUGCUACCUUGCUAGGCCGAAUUUUCGGCGCAUGGGUUCGAAUCCCAUACUCUCCU